This 232-nucleotide ribosomal RNA is filed under the name uncultured bacterium. RNAcentral's name for it is "partial 16S ribosomal RNA". It matches the Rfam family "Bacterial small subunit ribosomal RNA", at positions 923 to 1163 of the family's 1533-position model. The record is from RNAcentral.
GCACAAGCAGUGGAGUAUGUGGUUUAAUUCGACGCAACGCGAAGAACCUUACCAAGUCUUGACAUCCUGCGACGAUGCUGGAAACAGAAUUUUCCUUCGGGACGCAGAGACAGGUGGUGCAUGGUUGUCGUCAGCUCGUGUCGUGAGAUGUUGGGUUAAGUCCCGCAACGAGCGCAACCCUUGUGGUCAGUUGCUACGCAAGAGGACUCUGGCCAGACUGCCGUUGAUAAAA